RNAcentral lists this ribosomal RNA (500 nucleotides) under uncultured bacterium. RNAcentral's name for it is "bacterial SSU rRNA". It matches the Rfam family "Bacterial small subunit ribosomal RNA", at positions 24 to 518 of the family's 1533-position model. The record is from RNAcentral.
UCAGGAUGAACGCUAGCGGCAGGCUCAACACAUGCAAGUCGAGGGGCAACGCGAGUAGCAAUACUUGGCGGCGACCGGCGCAAGGGUGCGUAACGCGUGAGCAACAUGCCCGUAUCAGGGGGAUAAUCCAGGGAAACUUGGUCUAAUACCCCAUAGUAAUUUUGUAAGGCAUCUUAUAAGAUUUAAAGCUUUGGUGGAUACGGAUUGGCUCGCGUGACAUUAGCUGGAUGGUAAGGUAACGGCUUACCAUGGCUAUGAUGUCUAGGGGUUCUGAGAGGAAGGUCCCCACACUGGAACUGAGACACGGUCCAGACUCCUACGGGAGGCAGCAGUGGGGAAUAUUGGACAAUGGAUGGAAAUCUGAUCCAGCCAUGCCGCGUGAAAAGGAAGAAGGUCCUAUGGAUUGUAAACUUCUUUUGUAUGGGAGCAAUAAGGCCUACGUGUAGGUUGAUGAGAGUACCAUACGAAUAAGCACCGGCUAACUCCGUGCCAGCCGCUGC